Molecule: long non-coding RNA, 1166 nt
Filed under: Microcebus murinus (gray mouse lemur)
Lineage: Eukaryota; Metazoa; Chordata; Mammalia; Primates; Cheirogaleidae
Description: lncRNA (ENSMICG00000048699.1)
Source: RNAcentral
AUUUAAUUUAAAUGUGACCACGAGGGAAUGCUCCGAGUCUGUCACCGGCUGUCAGCCUGGCAUGGGUGUGGAGACAUCUCUUCGGGCGCUGGAGACUUGCUGUUGGACUUCAGUGAGGUGCUCCCUUGGGGGCGACGCUUCAAUAUCCCGAGAUGUGGGCUGAAUGAACACCCUUCAGAGGGGGACAGUGGUUCCUGCAAGUGAAGGGGAAGUGUUACAGCAGCAGGAAGGAGGAAAGAUGACUGUCCCCUCUUUUCAUGUGGCUUUGAUUCAUCUGCAAAUGCUGCAGCUACACUUUUUGUUUUUAAGAGACAGUGUCUUGCUCUGUUGCCCAGCCUGGAAUGCAGUGAUGUGAUCACAGCUCACUGCAGCCUCCACCUCCUUGGCUCAAGUGAUCCUCCUGCCUUGGCUUCCUAAAGUGCUGGGACUAUAGGCUGCAACCACACUUUUUAAUUAGAUGCCUGGUUGCUAAGAGAGAGGCCAAGAUGGCAGGCUGUUGAGAUUAGGAUUGGGGUGAAAAUACAGAGGGAGAGAGAGGGAGGAGGAGAGGAAGAGAGAAUGCUUGUUCCCUGGAGGUUUCAGACAUUUAUGUCUCAGGUUGCAUUCCAAAGUCGGUCUCUCCCUUGGGCCAGAAACAAUGGUUUGGAUAAUCUGGGCCUCUGCUCUCAGCCAGGCUGUGGCUAAAUGAGAUCUAACUCAGUUUACCUGGAGGGUCGUACAGGUGGUAUGGCGAGGGAUGGUCAAUCCGACCAGGUCUUGUAUGCUCAGCUGAGGCCCGUGGUUGAACCAAGCAGUCUCUGAACUGACUUGACUGUAGAACAUUUUUCUUUCUUUUUUUUCUUUUUUAAGUAAAACAUAUUAACAUCUCAUGGAACUCUGUCUGCAGAGCCAGGCUGCUAAGGAAAGAUUCUGAUUGCACCAAAGGGCACCAGGAUUUCCGGUGCUUUACAGAAUGGAAGUGUCAUUGGAUUCCUUUGAAAAUACUAUCUUGCACUGCAGAGCUUGGGAGGUUCACUCUGGGUGUGGGGGGUGGCUCAUUCCUAUUUUCCAUUCCUCUGAGUGGCUUGUAGAUAAAUAAAGGCAUGUCACAAAGUUCCACCAGUAGCCUCAAAGAUGAGUCUCUGCAGUUAGAUAUGAACAGGCAUAUUACAGUGUUUUAUUUUGCU